Molecule: non-coding RNA, 4300 nt
Organism: Prunus avium (sweet cherry)
Lineage: Eukaryota; Viridiplantae; Streptophyta; Magnoliopsida; Rosales; Rosaceae
Source: RefSeq, a predicted model, not a curated record
CGUGGAUUGGGUUGUUGUUGCUGACCUUCUUUUACCUGACCAAAUUAUAAAGCUUCUCACUUUCGUUUGGGUUUUAACUUCUUCGGGCUCUCUUCUCUCUUGUCUACUCCUUUACGCUUUCCUUCUCCCAAACCCUAAUUGCGAUCGUAUCUACCGCGGUUUCAGAUCUCCAUCGCUGCCGAUCAGGAGCAAUGUCUUUUACACGUAACUUCCGCUCCCAAGGGGGCACUACUGGUGACGAGUAUUGGCCCUCAUUCAGUAGAAACGACUUCAAAAGCUUCAACAACUUCAGAAACUUCAACCACAGCAACAACAACUGGAACAGGAGCAGGAGCAAUAGUUUCUCUAGGAAUUUUAACAACUUCAAUAAUUACGUGGGCAAUUAUAGGGAGCAUACUGACAAUUCUAAUUAUUCCAAGCCUGACACUGCUCCAUCGUUUAAGAGGAGAAAAUUUUCAGCUUCUACUUGGGGUGAUGGUGCGAGACACUAUCUUCCUGCCAACACAUAUGAGUUUGCCCCUUCUAUCUACAAUAACUAUGUUCCUCACACAAGGUCCAAUGGUGAUGCCUCUACAUCUACUACCGGUAAACGUGACCGCACAAAAUUAGAGGAGGAUGAACUGGCCUUUAUGUCAAGGGAUGAGAUUGAGAGACACUCCCCAUCUAGAAAAGAUGGUAUAGAUGCAGUGCGUGAAGCACAUUUGCGAUACUCAUAUUGUUCUUACCUUCAGAAUCUUGGAUUGCGGCUUGAUUUGCCACAAACUACUAUCGCUACUGCAAUGGUUCUCUGCCAUCGGUUUUUUGCUCGGCGAUCACAUGCUUGCCAUGAUAGAUUUUUGAUUGCUACCGCUGCUCUUUUUCUUUCUGCAAAGUAUGAGGAGACACCACGGCCUUUGAAUAAUGUGUUGAGAGCAUCUUGUGAGAUUUUCCAUAAGCAGGAUUUCAGUUUCUUGUCCUAUAUGCUCCCUGUUGACUGGUUUGAGCAGUAUCGGGAACGGGUGACUGAUGCUGAGCAAAUGAUACUGACCACUCUAAAUUUUGAACUCAGUGUGCAGCAUCCAUAUGAUCCUCUUACGUCUAUUCUUAACAAAUUAGGCCUUUCACAAACUGUUUUGGUGAAUCUGUCCUUAAGCUUGGUCAGUGAAGGGAUGUACACAAGAUUAGCGUUGAUCACCUGUAUGAUAUUCUUAGCUGGCGGAUUGAUAUGCUGUUCAUGGAAACUUUUUGAUUUACUUCUGAAGUUGAACUGCCGAUAUGUUGUGGAUGAAUUUUCAUAAUAUGCCCCAUCAACUUGGUCAUUGGCUAUUGAAUAUAGCCACAGAACCUCCAUAGCCAUUUUCACUAUUUUCUUUUAACAUUCUGGUGGAGUUUAUUCAGAAAGAGUCCUCUAAAGUCCUGCUUACAAACAUACAGUUUGUGAGACAGGGCUUUGUGUGUGCUAGGUUUUGGAGGAAGACCAUUCACUAGGCAAGGAUUUAUUUUGUUGUGCUUGGUAGCCCUUCCUGUCCUUGAUGCAUUUUUACGAACACCUCCAAUGACUUUGCCUACUAACAAGAAGCAGUUGACCAGAUAUCUAGGGGUUGCUUUAGGUUUAACGGAGGCUAUGAUAAGUGUUUUCUUUCUGCAUCAGUUUUGAAAGUUUUGAAUUUUUUUUAUCUUAUAACCUUUUGCACAAAUCAGAUAGUACACUGGGUUUGCACUCUGAGUGUUCUAAUUUUUCUUCCUUCUUGAGUAUCAGGGCUUCAGUCUGAUUUCAGUUUCGACCAAACUCUUUCUGAUGGAAGUUUAAACCUUGGCCCAAGAAUUGCAAAUUGUUGUAGAAAUGUGGCUACUGAUGCAUGUGUCUCAGGAGCUUGUGUGGGUUCUGUCUGACUUAGAUGUUUUGUUGUAUUCAGUGCUGGGUUCUUUUUCCCAGUACAGAAUGGAAUGGGAGGCCUUAAAAUAUUGCCAUUCAUCUACCCUCUCCCCCAAAAGAAGAAAAGAAAAUUGAAAAAAAAAUUAAUGCAACACUUGUGAAGUGAAAAUGAGAAAGAAAUUGGCAAAAUGUGCUGACAGCUCUCUCCAUUAGCGAAGCUUUGAGAUGUAACUUGUUUUCCAAGAUGGGGAAUAGGAGGCCAGGAAUUGUAACUCAAUUUUGAAAUAGUUGCCUGGUGUCAUAUCAUAUAUAUUUGGUUUAACCUAUAUUUCUCAGGGUGGAUCUAGACCCUGCCCAAUUAUUUAUCAGGGCCAAGAUCUUGACUGGGAACUGUUUGGUUCCAUUUACUUGUUAUCAGUUAUUGUCAAUUGCCUAGUCCCAACUCCCAUGUAAGUUCUUUUUCACAAUUUUGAAUAAAUUUGGAGGCCAGUUGAGUUAGUGGGCAAUCUUUGUUUUUUUGGCCCUUGACAAUAUUAUAAUAUCUUAUUUAAGUUUUCCUAUGUUCAAACUUUAUUUGAAACAUUCUUUCAAGUGAUGAAUUUGUUUCUAUAUAUUUUUUGUGAAAAAAAAGAUAACAGUUUUCUUGAAAUAAAUUUUGAUUUAUUCUUUGUCUAAAUUUAUUAUUAUUUUUAACUACGUUUUAUAUCGUAUUCCUAUCUUCAUUUACUUGUGAUAAUGAGUUUGAUCUUAAUGCUACUAUUGGUGUUAUUUAUGAUUAUUAAUUUUAUUAAUUUUACUACUGUCACUAUGGACUGGUUAUUCCUUGUUUUACACAGAAGUACACAGCCAAAUGUAUAUGUAUUUGAAAAUUGAAAAUUCCACAUUCAUUUAUGACAGUUUGUAAAAUCUCAUAAAAGAAUUAAAUGUUAUCUUCUAUAGCAUAUAUCCUUAUCAGAAAAAAAAAAAAAAAAAAAAAUCAUAGCAGUUAAGAUAUAGGCAUAUACUUUUGUAUCCUACUUGGUUUCAUCCAGGGAUGUUUUUGGUGAGGUGGAAAGGCUAUCCAGAUCAUUUGUACAAGUGUUGUAAGAUUAUGUGUACUGGCUGCAGCUGGUAUGAAAAGCUUUUGUGAAGACUAAAAUCACAAUGAGUAUAGAUUCCAGAGGAAAGAUUUUACUACUUUUUUUUUUUUGGGUCUGAGAUUUUACUAAACUAUGUUACAACUUUUAGCCAAUUUUCUUUAGUGAGAAUUAACCACCCUACCCCAGUUGAAUAUCUAGCAUUCAUCCUAGUAGUUGUCUGAAAAUUCCAACCAUUGUUAAAACCCUAGGGUGCAGUCCUCAUUUUGGUUUUCUAAGAAGUUCUCGGCAAGCCUUGCUUUACCCAGUGCUCCUUAGUAUAUUAUAUAGAAUAGAUUAGUUGAUGGUAUAAGAAAAGGAUAUACGUGUUGUACACUCUCAGAUAUACACAUACUGACCAGCUGGAACAAACUAUAAAUGACAUUUCAGCUUUAUCUCAUGCCUGCAACAUGUGUAUAGUCGAUGAUUCUCAUUGGGAAGUCAAUAGUUGGGGUAAUGUGUAUGUUCAAUGAGCAUCGAUGCAUGUGUUUGACAAGUCUGUCCAGAUCCAGCCAUUGAGCAGAAGAUUGUGGAUUUGCUUUCAGAAGUUUGAUUGUUUGCAAUGCGCUUCUGCUUCCUGUUUGCUUUCUCAUAUGAAUUGUGUACAUGAGUAAAAUAGCCGUGCAGCGGUUUUGGGCCUGGGAGUUUUGAUGUGUUCUCUAGAUGGGUAUAACAUGUUUGCUAUAGAUUUGGUACUCUUAUCAGCAAUCCUGCAGAGAUUCUGGAAAAUAUUCUACCUGACUUGCUGCUUUUGUAGUUGUUGCACUGGACAUUGCCUGGUCUUUCUAGUGUUGCCUCAGAUGGUUUGGUUUGGAUAUGUUGUCUUUCUGCCUCUCCUUGCCAAUGCUCCGGAGUUCUUUGUGGCUCCAGUUCAAACCACAUCAUAUCGCUGCUGGAGCAGCGUACCUUGCUGCGAAGUUUCUAAAUUUGGAUCUUGAUUCUUAUCAAAAUGUCUGGCAGGAGUUCAAGGCUACACCAGAUAUUCUUGAAGAUGUGGCCCAGCAGUUGAUGGAACUGUUCUAGAAGAAUGGAACAUGGUUGUGGUGGUAGGCUUUAGCUACUCUUUUUGUGGAUAAAAUUAGGAUAUGCAUGUCAUGAUCAAGUGGGGAAAACAUAUACACGACUUUGCUGAGGUCUGGGCGUGAGGAGGCAGAUAUUCCCACCAAGAUAUUAUAUAUACGUGCCCAUCUUUUGUCUCACAACUGCCCCUUCCUCAUGAAGGCUUAAAAAGUAUAGGUUUUUUUUUAAAGGUUUUUGUAACAACUUCGACCAGCCAUACUCUUUUCUCGGAAUGGUAAGUUGAUACAAUGACAAAAUCGCUAUAAAGUUU